GUUUAUAUUCAUUUACAAGUAUAGCGAACCAGAAAAGUGUUAGAUAUUCAGUUAGUAUAUCAUAUUUUACAAAUUUAUAUCAUAUUUUACACAUAUAGCAGUUCAAAAUGUAAACAAAGUUCGCGCAUGUGCACAGGAGUGGACAUCAUCUUUAAGAAUCACACUCAAACGCUGGAAGUUGUAUGAAAGAUAAGUGGAUAAUUAUCCUACAAGUCUUAUCUGAUGGAUAUAUAUCUUCCUUUCAACAUUUCAUGAACAAACAGCGACUGUAUGUUGUGUUUAUAUCUG
Molecule: non-coding RNA, 288 nt
Organism: Paramuricea clavata
Lineage: Eukaryota; Metazoa; Cnidaria; Anthozoa; Malacalcyonacea; Plexauridae
Source: the annotation of a GenBank genome assembly